UUCGUAGUCGAAUGAAUCAGUAAAUGUUGCAAUUUUUUUUUAUUUGUUUGUUAAAAUCGAUUAGAAUCCAAGGUUAUUUAAAAAUUCUUUCUCAUUUCUACUGAUAGAUGCCGCCAUAUAUGUGUUUUUUAAUAUAGUUUCGAGUUUUUUUAUUUUUUUUUUAAUUCAUACAUCAGACCAUGUAAUUUGAUUUUGAGAUUUGAAAUUAUCGAUUUCUAUUAAGAUCCAAUGUUGUCACAAAACUGAUGAUGAUGACGAAUUCAUUCUUUGUUCAAGUACCACUUGGCAAUCGACCAAUAAUAAUAAUUUAGUUAUGUCCAUGACAAUUCAUUGUUUUGUGGCAUCUGUUUGUGAAAUGAAUAACGAGAAUGUGAAAUAAUAAGAAUCCAAAAUGUAAUCAUAUACAAUGAACUUUGAACCUUGAGCUGUAAAAAAUUGAAAUAAACAUCACAAUCCUCUUCAUCAUCCGUUUUAUUUCGUUGUUUUGUUUUUUUUUUUUUUUUGGUUUAGUCCUAGUUAAAAGCCAAAAACCAGAAGAUCAAAAAUAAUAAUAAUAAUAAUAAAAUAAUAAUAUGGACCAUUUAGUUUAAUUGAAACUUGCAUCAAACAUUAGUUGAAUGAGAAGAAAAAGAAAUUGAAAGAAAUGAUCCUGUUUGGAAUGAUGGUGGAAUCAAAUUGGGCAUCAUCAUCAUAAAUCUAAUUGAUCCUGGAACAAUCGCGCGCAUACACACACACAUAGGCAAAAAUCUUCAUCAUUAUCCAGAUCCAAAAAUAAUAACAAUGAAAAUAUUUAGAGUUUUUUUUGUGAAGGGGUGGGGGUGGGAAGAAGUGAUGGUGGAUUCAUUAUUAUUGUGAUCACAAUAUAUUUAUUUAAAUUAUCAUUAUUUUUUUCCACUUUCAUUAAUUUUAAUAUUUAACAAAACAUCCACCUUCCGUCCCCCGCUACCACCUUUGUUUUAUGAAAAAAAAAAUUAAAUAAAGAAUGUUAUUGUAACUAAGCACACAAAA
Long non-coding RNA from Dermatophagoides farinae (American house dust mite), 1008 nucleotides. RefSeq lists it as uncharacterized. The record is from RefSeq and is a predicted model, not a curated record. Lineage: Eukaryota; Metazoa; Arthropoda; Arachnida; Sarcoptiformes; Pyroglyphidae.